GGUGUGUCCAAUGGUAGUGGGUUAUCAGAACUUAUUAACAUUAGUGUCACUAAAGUAUACAACCCUCCACUGCUAAAUUUGGCUAAA
RNAcentral lists this small RNA (87 nucleotides) under Carlito syrichta (Philippine tarsier). RNAcentral describes it as "Y RNA (ENSTSYG00000022587.2)". Lineage: Eukaryota; Metazoa; Chordata; Mammalia; Primates; Tarsiidae. The record is from RNAcentral.